AUGUCGAGCCCACGGCGGCCGGAGAUGUCACCGGCGGCGAGGAACAACGACAAUGGAUACGUCGAGACCGACCCCACUGGUCGCUACGGCCGGUUCGACGAGCUCCUGGGCAAGGGGGCGAUGAAGUCGGUGUACAGGGGGUUCGACGAGGUGCGCGGCGUGGAGGUGGCAUGGAACCAGGCCAACCUCGCCGACGUCCUCCGCACCCCUGACGCGCUGCAGCGCAUGUACUCCGAGGUCCACCUCCUCAGCACCCUCCGCCACGACGCCAUCAUCGCCUUCCACGCCUCGUGGGUCUCCGUCUCCUCCCCCUCCCCGCGCGGCGGCUGCACCGGCGGCGCCCCCCGCCGCACCUUCAACUUCAUCACCGAGCUCUUCUCCUCCGGCACCCUCCGCGCGUACCGCCUCCGAUACCCGCGCGUCAGCCUCCGCGCCGUCCGCGGCUGGGCACGCCAGAUCCUCCGGGGCCUCGCCUACCUCCACGCCCACGACCCCCCGGUCAUCCACCGCGACCUCAAGUGCGACAACGUGUUCGUCAACGGCAACCAGGGAACCGUCAAGAUCGGCGACCUCGGCCUCGCCGCCGUGCUCCGCGGCGCCCAGGCCGCCCACAGCGUCAUCGGCACGCCCGAGUUCAUGGCGCCCGAGAUGUACGACGAGGACUACGACGAGCUCGUCGACGUCUACUCCUUUGGCAUGUGCAUGCUCGAGAUGCUCACCGUCGAGUACCCCUACGCCGAGUGCUCCAACCCGGCGCAGAUCUACAAGAAGGUCACCUCCGGCAAGCUGCCCGACGCCUUCUACCGGGUCGAUGACGCUGACGCGCGCAGGUUCAUCGGGAGGUGUCUCGUCCCCGCCUCCCACCGCCCCUCCGCCCAGGAGCUCCUGCUCGACCCUUUCCUCUCCACGCAGGACACCACCAUGACGCUGUCACCGCCGCCAUUGCUGCCUGCCUUGCCCACCUCCGGUGACCGGAAGGAUAACCCGGAGGAGGCAGAGCCGGCGGCAGCAAGGACUGACAUGACCAUCACCGGCAAGCUCAACACCGACGACGAUACCAUAUUCCUCAAAGUGCAGAUCGUCGACGAAGCAGGCCAUUCGAGGAACAUCUACUUCCCGUUCGACAUCGCCGGCGAUACAGCGACAGAGGUGGCGAGGGAGAUGGUGAAGGAGCUGGACAUCACGGACCGGGACCCCUCAGAGAUCGCCGCCAUGAUCGAGGAGGAGAUCAUGAGGCUGGUACCGGACUGGGUCAGCGGUGGCUGUGAUGAUCAGCAGGAGUACUAUACGUACGCGGAUAAUGACGACAAUGAGGAGCAGCCUCCAUUCUACUACCUCUCCUCUUCCCCGACCUCUUCCAACGGGUCUCAUUGUGGCAUAGGGCCGACAACAUCAGGUGGCGGCCACGGUGGCUGGUUUCAAGAUUACGCUGUGAGCAGCGACGACGACGAGACAAGCUCCACGCGCUCUGCGCUGCAGUACUCCUCCGAAGAGGCCCAGCCCGAAGAGAAGCCUGGCGUCUCCAAGACGGGCCAGGUGAAGGCCACCAGAUUCGGCCCAGGAGACGGCGGCACAGCAGGACACGACGUGUCGUCGUCGCGCGCCGGCCGGCCGCGGCACCACCGCGGGAGCCCCGACGCCGGCGGCGACGAGGGGCGGCCGCGGAGGCAGCAGGGCCGCAUGACGAGGAACCGGUCGAUGGUGGACGUGCGGAGCCAGCUGCUGCACCGGACGCUUGUGGAGGAGCUCAACAAGCGCAUGUUCUUCAACACCGUCGGCGCGGUCGAGAACAUCGGCUUCCGCCGCAUCCCCGGCUACGGCGGCGGGCCCUCGUCCUCGUCGGCGACGGUGUCGUCCUCGCGCGGGGGCGACCAGCGCGGCCGGAGAAGUGGCAAGGACAAGCACCAGUUCUUCAUGUUCUGA
This 1923-nucleotide ribosomal RNA is filed under the name Triticum aestivum (bread wheat). Its description in RNAcentral is "partial small subunit ribosomal RNA". The record is from RNAcentral. Lineage: Eukaryota; Viridiplantae; Streptophyta; Magnoliopsida; Poales; Poaceae.